Molecule: ribosomal RNA, 433 nt
Filed under: uncultured bacterium
Lineage: Bacteria
Description: partial 16S ribosomal RNA
Rfam family: Bacterial small subunit ribosomal RNA
Source: RNAcentral
AACGAACGCUGGCGGCAUGCCUAACACAUGCAAGUCGAACGAGACCUUCGGGUCUAGUGGCGAACGGUUGCUUAACGCGUGGGAACCUGCCCUUAGGUUCGGAAUAACUCCCCGAAAGGGGUGCUAAUACCGAAUAUGUUCUUCGGACCAAAGAUUUAUCGCCUUUGGAUGGGCCCGCGUUGGAUUAGCUAGUUGGUAGGGUAAAAGCCUACCAAGGCGACGAUCCAUAGCUGGUCUGAGAGGAUGAUCAGCCACACUGGGACUGAGACACGGCCCAGACUCCUACGGGAGGCAGCAGUGGGGAAUAUUGGACAAUGGGCGAAAGCCUGAUCCAGCAAUGCCGCGUGAGUGAUGAAGGCCUUAGGGUUGUAAAGCUCUUUUACCCGGGAUGAUAAUGACAGUACCGGGAGAAUAAGCUCCGGCUAACUCCGUG